This 172-nucleotide long non-coding RNA is filed under the name Dermacentor andersoni. RNAcentral describes it as "uncharacterized LOC126519742". Lineage: Eukaryota; Metazoa; Arthropoda; Arachnida; Ixodida; Ixodidae. The record is from RNAcentral.
CUCAGAAUCGUUCUAUAAGUUGGACAAUGCCCUUGAAAACUAACUCACUCGUUUAUUCAGUAUAACACCCGCCGUGGUUGCUCAGUGGCUAUGGUAAGAAACGGAAAACACUGAAACCUUGUGUGUUGUAAAUUUUUUUCCUCACUUGUAAAUAAACGAUUUCAUGACCAGA